AUCGAAGACCACAUUUUGCAUUAAGCUCCUUUAUACCUUGAAAAAGCUAAGCAGGGUCAGACCUAAUGAGUAUAUGGAUGGCCAACCACCAGAAAAUUCUAGGGCUUUAGGCU
This 113-nucleotide ribosomal RNA is filed under the name Salvator merianae (Argentine black and white tegu). The record is from RNAcentral. Lineage: Eukaryota; Metazoa; Chordata; Lepidosauria; Squamata; Teiidae.